RNAcentral lists this ribosomal RNA (434 nucleotides) under uncultured Lachnospiraceae bacterium. RNAcentral describes it as "partial 16S ribosomal RNA". It matches the Rfam family "Bacterial small subunit ribosomal RNA", at positions 341 to 792 of the family's 1533-position model. The record is from RNAcentral. Lineage: Bacteria; Bacillati; Bacillota; Clostridia; Lachnospirales; Lachnospiraceae.
ACGGAAGGCAGCAGUGGGGGAUAUUGCACAAUGGGGGAAACCCUGAUGCAGCGACGCCGCGUGAGUGAAGAAGUAUUUCGGUAUGUAAAGCUCUUUAAGUUGGGAAGAUAAUGACGGUACCAACAGAAUAAGCCCCGGCUAACUACGUGCCAGCAGCCGCGGUAAUACGUAGGGGGCAAGCGUUAUCCGGAUUUACUGGGUGUAAAGGGAGCGUAGACGGCAUAGCAAGUCUGAAGUGAAAUCAUAGGGCUCAUCCCUGUAAUUGCUUUGGAAACUGUUAAGCUCGAGUACCGGAGGGGCAGGCGGAAUUCCUGGUGUAGCGGUGAAAUGCGUAGAUAUCAGGAAGAACACCGGUGGCGAAGGCGGCCUGCUGGACGGUAACUGACGUUGAUGCUCGAAAGCGUGGGGAGCAAACAGGAUUAGAUACCCUGGUA